AUUGAACGCUGGCGGCAGGCCUAACACAUGCAAGUCGAACGGUAACAGAAAGCAGCUUGCUGCUUUGCUGACGAGUGGCGGGCGGGUGAGUAAUGUCUGUGAAACUGCCUGAUGGAGGGGGAUAACUACUGGAAACGGUAGCUAAUACCGCAUAACGUCGCAAGACCAAAGAGGGGGACCUUCGGGCCUCUUGCCAUCGGAUGUGCCCAGGUGGGAUUAGCUAGUAGGUGGGGUAACGGCUCACCUAGGCGACGAUCCCUAGCUGGUCUGAGAGGAUGACCAGCCACACUGGAACUGAGACACGGUCCAGACUCCUACGGGAGGCAGCAGUGGGGAAUAUUGCACAAUGGGCGCAAGCCUGAUGCAGCAAUGCCGCGUGUAUGAAGAAGGCCUUCGGGUUGUAAAGUACUUUCAGCGGGGAGGAAGGGAGUAAAGUUAAUACCUUUGCUCAUUGACGGUACCCGCAGAAGAAGCACCGGCUAACUCCGUG
This 490-nucleotide ribosomal RNA is filed under the name uncultured bacterium. RNAcentral's name for it is "partial 16S ribosomal RNA". It matches the Rfam family "Bacterial small subunit ribosomal RNA", at positions 30 to 507 of the family's 1533-position model. The record is from RNAcentral.